RNAcentral lists this ribosomal RNA (467 nucleotides) under uncultured bacterium. RNAcentral's name for it is "partial 16S ribosomal RNA". It matches the Rfam family "Bacterial small subunit ribosomal RNA", at positions 28 to 507 of the family's 1533-position model. The record is from RNAcentral.
GAUGAACGCUGGCGGCGUGCUUAACACAUGCAAGUCGAACGGAAAGGCCCAAGCUUGCUUGGGUACUCGAGUGGCGAACGGGUGAGUAACACGUGGGUGAUCUGCCCUGCACUUCGGGAUAAGCCUGGGAAACUGGGUCUAAUACCGGAUAGGACCACUUCUUGGAUGUUGUGGUGGAAAGUUUUUUCGGUGUGGGAUGAGCUCGCGGCCUAUCAGCUUGUUGGUGGGGUAAUGGCCUACCAAGGCGUCGACGGGUAGCCGGCCUGAGAGGGUGUACGGCCACAUUGGGACUGAGAUACGGCCCAGACUCCUACGGGAGGCAGCAGUGGGGAAGAUUGCACAAGGGGCGCAAGCCUGAUGCAGCGACGCCGCGUGGGGGAUGACGGCCUUCGGGUUGUAAACUCCUUUCGCUAGGGACGAAGCGUUUUGUGACGGUACCUGGAGAAGAAGCACCGGCUAACUACGUG